CGUCGAUCCACUUUUUAAAAGCGUCGUUCGACUUGAAAACUCAACGGUGAAACUGUCAAGCUCGCACUUGUGUCGCACACCACAUAAACAUCCCCCGCGACGGUUCUUAUCCGGUUCAUUGGGAAGUCUUUCCGGUUGCUGCCAAACUGUGAUUCGACAAACUGUCGCUGGUGUCCACAAUGUAAGGACGGUUUCUCCAGGUCGCUGUUGGGCGUCAAUUUACAACCCCGACAUCUUCCUCGCAGACGUCGGACGGGUUCGUGCGCUCACGUCCGCUCCGCCGCCGUCGCGCUCGACACUUCAGCGGCUCCCGAAUGUCGUCGGCGAUCUUGCGUCCGACUUGAGUUCGUUCAUCCCUAAAAUGUCAUCGCAACUUUUACUGCCCAAUAAAUGAUUCAACUGGACUCGUGUUUUCGUCCUGAGUCUGGCCCGUCCGUCUUCAUUUGGAGCCUUUCGGGCAUCGCGGACGGCUCUUCAAAAGCCGCUUUGAGUCUCGAGAGUAGAUGUUAAGCAACAGACAUGAAAUCACAAAGUAAACCAAGACGAAGUCUGACGACAUCAAGAAGUCUCCUCGUCGCCGCCCGGUGAAGUGGUCGGCCGUUGGGACGAGAGCUUGGACCGGUGUCCGGACCCAAGACAAACAUCACGAGGAAGACUGGCGACUUGUUUUCUGGGCCUUUGAGGACUGACUGAUGGCUGAGUGACCGGGAAGCCGAUCGGGUUCCUCAGCAACUCUGGAAGGAGGAGGAAGAACAAACUCAAUCACAUGAGACGUUUCGAAGAGUC
Long non-coding RNA from Syngnathoides biaculeatus (alligator pipefish), 786 nucleotides. RefSeq lists it as uncharacterized. The transcript has 5 exons. The record is from RefSeq and is a predicted model, not a curated record. Lineage: Eukaryota; Metazoa; Chordata; Actinopteri; Syngnathiformes; Syngnathidae.